This 496-nucleotide ribosomal RNA is filed under the name uncultured bacterium. RNAcentral describes it as "partial 16S ribosomal RNA". It matches the Rfam family "Bacterial small subunit ribosomal RNA", at positions 28 to 506 of the family's 1533-position model. The record is from RNAcentral.
GAUGAACGCUGGCGGCGUGCCUAAUACAUGCAAGUCGAGCGAACAGACGAGGAGCUUGCUCCUCUGACGUUAGCGGCGGACGGGUGAGUAACACGUGGAUAACCUACCUAUAAGACUGGGAUAACUUCGGGAAACCGGAGCUAAUACCGGAUAAUAUAUUGAACCGCAUGGUUCAAUAGUGAAAGACGGUUUUGCUGUCACUUAUAGAUGGAUCCGCGCCGCAUUAGCUAGUUGGUAAGGUAACGGCUUACCAAGGCAACGAUGCGUAGCCGACCUGAGAGGGGGAUCGGCCACACUGGAGCUGAGAAACGGUCCAGACUCCUACGGGAGGCAGAAGUAGGGAAUCUUCCGCAAGGGGCGAAAGCCUGACGGAGCAACGCCGCGUGAGUGAUGAAGGUCUUCGGAUCGUAAAACUCUGUUAUUAGGGAAGAACAAAUGUGUAAGUAACUAUGCACGUCUUGACGGAACCUAAUCAGAAAGCCACGGCUAACUACGU